UGGGUGAAUCAAGCUUACCCUAGUUUCAAACUCUCGUCUCCAAACCGACGGUUCAUCUCCCUAAAAAUUCUUGUCUUUCCUCUAAAAUUCUUUCCAUUCUACCUCUCAUUAGGUCUGCUAAGCUGUUUGCAAGUCUCUAUUGUCUGAAAUGGCUCCCAAACUAAAGCUACCGGAGAGAAGAAAGUCUGUAUGUGGGUUAGAGGAGAAUGUACGCAGAAAAAGAAUGGCAGCCGAGCCC
RNAcentral lists this long non-coding RNA (238 nucleotides) under Elaeis guineensis (African oil palm). RNAcentral describes it as "long non-coding RNA (EGUI_LNC049335)". Lineage: Eukaryota; Viridiplantae; Streptophyta; Magnoliopsida; Arecales; Arecaceae. The record is from RNAcentral.